Molecule: long non-coding RNA, 888 nt
Organism: Danaus plexippus (monarch butterfly)
Lineage: Eukaryota; Metazoa; Arthropoda; Insecta; Lepidoptera; Nymphalidae
Exons: 2
Source: RefSeq, a predicted model, not a curated record
CAUUAGAUAACCAUACAGGGUCUCAUUUAUCCCUUCAUUCCGUGUAAUUUGCACGAACACAUCAUAACAUAUGGUACGGGACACGGACGGUAGAUGUCGCUGAUGGUUUGGCAACAUAUUAACUACACGUUACAAAAAAAUUAAUUGCUUAAAAAAAUAUAAAGUAUUUUAUAUUAUAUUUUUCCUUAUCUUUAGAGCUUUUUGUAUUCACUAAUUACUUCCCAUGAGGACUUAACUUGUUCUGAGCAGGUAAAGCAGGAAAAUGGGAGUUAUAAGGCCAAGUGAGGUUUGACAUAUAGGUCCUUAACACAGUAGUAGAUAGCAAGUUAAUGAGUACAUAACACGUAUGCUGUUUCUAAUCUUCAAGAAAUGAAUCUGAUGAAUUUGGGGAACUGUGAGGCGUCUUCUGACGGGUGGAUGGUGGGUGAUCCACAUCCAUGGGUGUGAGUUCCAUGGCUACCUCUUCCCUGACAUUCAGUCACAAGCUAUUCCAUCCAACUGUGAGUAGCUGGGAUCUCUCAGGUCAAAUCAACGAGAAUACAAGUUGCAACGCAAACACUUAAGUUAGGAUCGCAUGAAAAAGAAGCAACAAGAUUCGUUUGCAAAGAAAAAUGAUAAAAAAACAUUAAUGACGGUAAACCAAGAACAUUAACUGUUUCAUAAUACUUAGAGACGAAUAGAGAUGGUUCGAAAAAUAGGAUUUGCAUUAAAGAAAUAGUUAAUGGACUAUUAAAUAUACAAAAACUAUUGAUAAUAUUAUAUUGAAGUGAUCGUUGUGAAGGUUCGUGUAAUCAAACUACAUCCCACGCGUCUCCACUCGUCAUUCAUAUAUCAUAAGCUGUGUUGAUACUAAUAUAUUUUGGUUAUUAAUAAACAAACUUGCAUCUC